AAUACUUUUGCAUGCAAGAGUUAUAAAGAGUAAAGAGGGGAAGUGGAAGUGAGAUUUGGAGAUUUUGUUCAGUCUAGACUAUCCACACUUGAGUAUAGAGGUUCCCAAAAUUCCAGUUGCAGUAGCCUGCCUGGAUAAACAAUAUACCUAUGGUUUGUGCUGAGCAUGCUUGAGUUUCUUGGAGGCUUCUGCUGGCUGAUUCUGAGCUCUGCUUUUUCUUGUAGUUUCUGAUCUUAUCAGGGAAUUGCAGAAGGGCUUGAUUUUGAUUCUUUUCUUCAAGUGAUUUGGGUCAACACUGAAACUGAAACACUCAAUCAAGAGCAUCAUGAUUGCAACGCCAGAGCUCCAAUUCUAGUGCAAAGGGCAAAGGGCAAAGGGUACUUAAAAAGCCCUCCACUGCCAAGUGUUUUUAAGCGUCAUUAAUAUCAUCAAAUUUGACUGCAAGAAAACCACUGUUAUCACCUGCAAAUUCAACUUUACUGAAUUAGGCAAUUCAAUCAGAAAUCUUGAUGAAGCAGAUUCACUGAUUGAAUCCUGAAAGAUUCUUAAAUAUCAAGCUUUCUGAGCUUGUGUUUUGAUGAAGGAAACAAUGCUGGCAGUGUCCAUCACAUUCAGCUGAUGAAAACCACACCAGACACUCCAUUCCAUUUGAGCUCAUCACCUGCUUCAACACCCUUCUCAUCUCUGUCUAUCAAUUCCCUUGCGACGCUCUAACCACUGAUCAAAGCGGGCUCACAUAACAGAAAUUGUGCAUAGCAUAAGAAUUCAGCAAACUACUGUUUAACUAUUGACGAUUCUGAAUUCAUCGAUUAUAUAUUGGCUCCUGUAACAACUGCCAGUCUGCUAUAAAAGAGCGGGUUCUUAGUAACUACUGGUGGAAUCCUGGGUCUGCUUGGAAAUCUAUCAAAGGAGUUGAAAUAGUGACAUCUGGCACGUUCAAAUGAUGAGAGAUGAUAGAGAUGAAAGAAGCAACGUAAUGUUCUGUUUGUUCACUACCUAGGUGAAGGAGCCUAUGUAAGGAAAUGAGAAGAAAUUCUUCAAGAUUUUAAAGUGACAUACAAAAGCUAGAACUUUGAAGCCGUCAGAGGGGAAGCUUGUGCAUGUUUUAGGGUGCCCUUAAGUCAUUAUUGAGAAAUUUGAAAAAACCAGACAUGCCAACCACAGUGAAACAGGAAAACUGGACCCCUUUUUGUCUCUGUGAGUUCCAGAAAACUAGAUACUUCUGGUCUCGGUGUUGAAAAACUGUAUUCAGAUUCAGACUAAAGGUGUGGGCUGCUGCUGCUUCUUUUCUUUAACGGACCUCAUAAAUCUAAUCUGGAAAUCUGUGAAUAUAUAAGAUUAAGCAUCUGAAUCCUGGUUGGAUCAGCUUGACAAUUAUAGAAAUUAGACCUAUGGGUCACAUAUUAAGGGACUAUUUAAA
Macadamia integrifolia is the source of this 1420-nucleotide long non-coding RNA. RefSeq lists it as uncharacterized. The record is from RefSeq and is a predicted model, not a curated record. Lineage: Eukaryota; Viridiplantae; Streptophyta; Magnoliopsida; Proteales; Proteaceae. The transcript has 3 exons.